This is a long non-coding RNA of Triticum aestivum (bread wheat), 1239 nucleotides long. RefSeq lists it as uncharacterized. Lineage: Eukaryota; Viridiplantae; Streptophyta; Magnoliopsida; Poales; Poaceae. The record is from RefSeq and is a predicted model, not a curated record. The transcript is spliced from 6 exons.
CCAUCCACCCACUCCCCUGCCGCCCCCACCCCCGCACCAUGGCCAUCGACGGUGAGGAGCCCGAGUCCCCACGCCUCCCCGCCCUCAAGUGGCUCUCCCGCCACGGCCACAUCGGGCCUUUCGGAUCCGCGCGCGUUGUAGAGUUGGAUCCGCGCCUCCUCGCGUAGCCGCUGUCUCCCCGAUCUAGAUCGACGCCACCAGCCUCUCAUCCUCGUCUGCCGAGCGCCGCCACCACCCUCGCCUUCUUCCGCGACUACCUCCCCCCGCUACCGCAUCCGCCAAGCCCGUCCCCUUCCUCCCCUCGGUCCAAAUCCUCCUCCUAUCAUGAUUCCCUCUAUCCCAACACCGACGCCGUCGCCUCUCCCGCAUGCCUGUCAUCCACCACUGCUGCACCCACCCUCUCCCCUUCUCAAUCUCGAUCCAGUCAGGCGCGUGCAGAUCCGAGGAGAUUUGGGCUCCUGAGGUGAAUGAUUUCAUCUUGAUUUCCGACAGCGCCUACACCCGGGAGCAGAUUCUGAAGAUGGAGAAGGCCAUCUUGAUCGCCGGCCUCCCUCGCCCGGGAAGAUGACGGAGAACCACCGCUUUUGGGACAAAUGACAACCACGACGGCUGCGGCACCAGCAGCGCAAUGGAGAUGGAGGCCAGCCGCGUCGGUUGGAUCCCAUCCCGUCCACCCCCCUUUCUCAGCGGGGCGUGGCACUCCAAGACCUCGUGGCUGCGGUGGCCCUUGAAGAUGGCGAGGUAGGAGACGCCUGAUCUGCAGCGUCUGCGGUGGCCCUUGGACCUAGACGCCCAAGAUCACGCUUGCAGCCUGUUGUGCGCCUGGCCGUGGCAAGUGGAAGGAGGCAGAGGCAGGGGUAGAUACCACGGGAUGGACGAGGAGCUGGAGUCGUCCUCGCUGCCGGUGCUGCACAAGAUGAGACCAGGAAAUGAAAGAUCGCUCGACAAACGGCCGCUUCCAGUCAGUUGGAUCUGAUCUUAUACCCGCACACGAGAGCUACCGGAGCAGCAGCAGAUUAACAAGGACCCAAGCUAGACUCCCAAGUUCUUCGGCUCAAGGCGCUAAGGUGUUGGAGACGUGCCUGUACUUGUUGAGCGUUUUAUCUGUAGAGUGCUAUAUUGUGAUUGGUGUAAUAUUGUAUGGUUAUAUUGUGAUUGGUGAAAUGUAAUAAACUUGAUUGAUAUAUUGGUGAUUUGGUUGUUAUUUGAAUAUAUUUAAAAUGUGUUCUCUGAUUGGUA